AGUCGAGAAUCUUCGGCAAUGGGCGAAAGCCUGACCGAGCGAUGCCGCGUGCGGGAUGAAGGCCCUCGGGUUGUAAACCGCUGUCGUAGGGGAGGAAGGUUCCGUGAAGAGCGGGACUUGACCUAUCCUAGGAGGAAGUACGGGCUAAGUUCGUGCCAGCAGCCGCGGUAACACGAACCGUACGAACGUUAUUCGGAAUUACUGGGCUUAAAGGGUUUGUAGGCGGCCUUGUAAGUCAGGUGUGAAAGCCCUCGGCUCAACCGAGGAACAGCGCUUGAUACUGCAAGGCUUGAGGGAGACAGGGGUAAGCGGAACUGAUGGUGGAGCGGUGAAAUGCGUUGAUAUCAUCAGGAACACCGGUGGCGAAAGCGGCUUACUGGGUCUCUUCUGACGCUGAGGAACGAAAGCUAGGGUAGCGAA
RNAcentral lists this ribosomal RNA (420 nucleotides) under uncultured Planctomycetaceae bacterium. RNAcentral's name for it is "bacterial SSU rRNA". It matches the Rfam family "Bacterial small subunit ribosomal RNA", at positions 353 to 772 of the family's 1533-position model. Lineage: Bacteria; Pseudomonadati; Planctomycetota; Planctomycetia; Planctomycetales; Planctomycetaceae. The record is from RNAcentral.